Molecule: ribosomal RNA, 420 nt
Filed under: uncultured bacterium
Lineage: Bacteria
Description: bacterial SSU rRNA
Rfam family: Bacterial small subunit ribosomal RNA
Source: RNAcentral
CUCUUGACAUCCUGGGAACUUGUGAGAGAUCACUUGGUGCCUUCGGGAGCGCAGAGACAGGUGCUGCAUGGCUGUCGUCAGCUCGUGUUGUGAAAUGUUGGGUUAAGUCCCGUAACGAGCGCAACCCUUGUCCUUAUUUGCCAGCGGGUAAUGCCGGGAACUCUAAGGAGACUGCCGGUGACAAACCGGAGGAAGGUGGGGACGACGUCAAGUCAUCAUGGCCCUUACGAGUAGGGCUACACACGUGCUACAAUGGCCGGUACAAAGGGUUGCGAGCUCGCGAGAGUCAGCUAAUCCCGAAAAGCCGGUCUCAGUCCGGAUCGGAGUCUGCAACUCGACUCCGUGAAGUCGGAAUCGCUAGUAAUCGUGAAUCAGAAUGUCACGGUGAAUACGUUCCCGGGCCUUGUACACACCGCCCGU